GCGUGGAUGAUGAAGGCCCUAGGGUUGUAAAGUCCUUUUAACGGGGAAGAUAAUGACGGUACCCGUAGAAUAAGCCCCGGCUAACUUCGUGCCAGCAGCCGCGGUAAUACGAAGGGGGCUAGCGUUGCUCGGAAUUACUGGGCGUAAAGCGCACGUAGGCGGACCGAUAAGUCGGGGGUGAAAUCCUGGAGCUCAACUCCAGAACUGCCUUCGAAACUGCCGGUCUUGAGUUCGGGAGAGGUGAGUGGAACUGCGAGUGUAGAGGUGAAAUUCGU
Molecule: ribosomal RNA, 275 nt
Filed under: uncultured bacterium
Lineage: Bacteria
Description: partial 16S ribosomal RNA
Rfam family: Bacterial small subunit ribosomal RNA
Source: RNAcentral